This 563-nucleotide ribosomal RNA is filed under the name Belvosia sp. Woodley04A. RNAcentral's name for it is "partial ribosomal RNA". The stretch from base 1 to 120 matches the Rfam family "Eukaryotic small subunit ribosomal RNA", at positions 1717 to 1831 of the family's 1831-position model. The record is from RNAcentral. Lineage: Eukaryota; Metazoa; Arthropoda; Insecta; Diptera; Tachinidae.
UGAUCACUGUAACGCCCUGAGUGUUGCGGAUGUUUCGCAGAAGUUGACCGAACUUGAUUAUUUAGAGGAAGUAAAAGUCGUAACAAGGUUUCCGUAGGUGAACCUGCGGAAGGAUCAUUAAAGUUCUCCUUUCAAGUUAUAAACAAAAACACAAUAUAUAAAAUACUUAUAUUGUAAAAUUAUGGCAAAUGCCAAAAAGAAACAAAAUAACAAUAAUAAAAAUGUUUAUUAUUGUAUCGCCUCCUAGGCAAAAAAGUAUAGUAUAAAGUGUUUGUGUGUGUUACACAUUACACAAAAAUUGACUUAUUUAUAUAAAAUUUGUAAAAACUGAAAUUGUGUGGACGUUAUACAAAAUUAAUUUGUAUAGAAAAUGUCUAAAAAUUUGAAAUACAUAAAAUUAUAGUUGUACUUGUAUAAAAUUGAAAAGUAAUUUUUUAUAUAAGUCAAUCAUUGUUCGUUUUUUAAGAACUUGAGACAUUCGCAACAAAAAUUUUAUGUUUUAGUUAUAAAAGAGAAGAAUAAUAAGCAAAAAUUAUUGAAGGAAUUGAUAUAUGCCAAUUUGA